This 442-nucleotide ribosomal RNA is filed under the name uncultured bacterium. Its description in RNAcentral is "partial 16S ribosomal RNA". It matches the Rfam family "Bacterial small subunit ribosomal RNA", at positions 338 to 795 of the family's 1533-position model. The record is from RNAcentral.
CCUACGGGAGGCUGCAGUAGGGAAUCUUUCACAAUGGCCGAAAGCCUGAUGGAGCAACGCCGCGUGCAGGAUGAAGGCCUUCGGGUUGUAAACUGCUUUUAUAAGCGAGAAAUAUGAUGGUAACUUAUGAAUAAGGAUCGGCUAACUACGUGCCAGCAGCCGCGGUCAUACGUAGGAUCCGAGCAUUAUCCGGAGUGACUGGGUGUAAAGAGUUGCGUAGGUGGCAUAAUAAGUAGCCAGUGAAAUCUGGUGGCUCAACCAUUCAGACUAUUAGCGAAACUGUUAAGCUCGAGACCGGUAGGGGUAACUGGAAUGUGUAGUGUAGGAGUGAAAUCCGUAGAUAUGAGAAGGAACACCAAUAGCGUAGGCAGGUUGCUGGGACGGGUCUGACACUAAGGCACGAAAGCGUAGGGAGCAAACGGGAUUAGAUACCCCAGUAGUC